Molecule: ribosomal RNA, 862 nt
Filed under: Ascolaimus elongatus
Lineage: Eukaryota; Metazoa; Nematoda; Chromadorea; Araeolaimida; Axonolaimidae
Description: SSU rRNA
Rfam family: Eukaryotic small subunit ribosomal RNA
Source: RNAcentral
GGUGAGCCGCGAAUUGCUCAUUACAACAGCCAUUGUUUACUGGAUCUUAAUAUCCUACUUGGAUAACUGUGGUAAUUCUAGAGCUAAUACACGCAAACAGCUCUGACCGCAAGGGAUGAGCGCAUUUAUUAGAACAAAACCAAUCGGGCUUGCCUGUCUUUGGUGGAUCUGAAUAACUCAGUUGAUCGCAUGGUCUCGCACCGGCGACGUAUCUUCCAAGUGUCUGCCUUAUCAACUUUUGAUGGUAGUUUAUGCGACUACCAUGGUUGUAACGGGUAACGGAGAAUAAGGGUUCGACUCCGGAGAGGGAGCCUGAGAAAUGGCUACCACAUCCAAGGAAGGCAGCAGGCGCGCAAAUUACCCAAUCUCGGAACGAGGAGGUAGUGACGAAAAAUAACGAGAUGGUUCUCUAUGAGGCCCAUUAUCGGAAUGAGUACAAUUCAAACCUUUUAACGAGGAUCUACGAGAGGGCAAGUCUGGUGCCAGCAGCCGCGGUAAUUCCAGCUCUCGAAGUGUAUAUCAUUGUUGUUGCGGUUAAAAAGCUCGUAGUUGGAUCUGCGCCUUCGGAGUCGGUCCUCCCAACGGGAGCGUACUGGCAUCCUGGGCUAAUUUUGCUGGUUUUCACUCAGUACCCUUUACCGGGCGCUUUGUGUGACUAGCACGUUUACUUUGAAAAAAUUAGAGUGCUCAAAACAGGCUUUUGCUUGAAUACUGGCGCAUGGAAUAAUGGAAUAGGACCUUGGUUCUAUUUUGUUGGUUUUCGGAACACGAGGUAAUGAUUAAGAGGGACAGACGGGGGCAUUCGUAUUGCAGCGCUAGAGGUGAAAUUCUUGGACCGCUGCAAGACGAACAACUGCGAAGG